AAAAAAAAAAAAAAAAAAACCCAUCGAGACAAGAACCCAUAAAGCAAUGACAGACAGAAGCAUCUCAAAGGGAAACAGAUUGGCCCAGCAGCAAAAAUUGAGUGCAUUAAGAUUUUUUUUUUCCAUAAGUUACAAAGGUUUGCCACCUAAAAUCUAAAUGCUGUUCUUUUCUCUUCUUGCUCGCUCAGGUGCUUGGUUGUUCACAACUGUAUU
Molecule: unclassified non-coding RNA, 213 nt
Filed under: Hevea brasiliensis (rubber tree)
Lineage: Eukaryota; Viridiplantae; Streptophyta; Magnoliopsida; Malpighiales; Euphorbiaceae
Source: RNAcentral